CGCGGCCUAUCAGCUUGUUGGCGAGGUAACGGCUCACCAAGGCAACGACGGGUAGCUGGUCUGAGAGGACGAUCAGCCACACUGGGACUGAGACACGGCCCAGACUCCUAUGGGAGGCAGCAGUGGGGAAUCUUGCACAAUGGGUGAAAGCCUGAUGCAGCAACGCCGCGUGGGGGAUGAAGGCUCUCGGGUUGUAAACCCCUUUCAGCAGGGACGAAUCUGACGGUACCUGCAGAAGAAGCCCCGGCCAACUACGUGCCAGCAGCCGCGGUAACACGUAGGGGGCAAGCGUUGUCCGGAUUUAUUGGGCGUAAAGAGCUCGUAGGCGGUUUGGUGAGUCGGGUGUGAAAUCUCCACGCUCAACGUGGAGGGGCCACCCGAUACUGCCAUGACUAGAGUCCGGUAGGGGAGUGUGGAAUUCCCGGUGUAGCUGUGAAAUGCGCAGAUAUCGGGAGGAACACCAGUAGCGAAGGCGACACCCUGGGCCGGUACUGACGCUGAGGAGCGAAAGCGUGGGGAGCAAACAGGAUUAGAUACCCUGGUAGUCCACGCUGUAAACGUUGGGCACUAGGUGUGGGACUCUAUCGACGGGUUCCGUGCCGUAGCUAACGCAUUAAGUGCCCCGCC
This 627-nucleotide ribosomal RNA is filed under the name uncultured bacterium. RNAcentral describes it as "bacterial SSU rRNA". It matches the Rfam family "Bacterial small subunit ribosomal RNA", at positions 232 to 873 of the family's 1533-position model. The record is from RNAcentral.